AAAAAAAAAAAAAAAAUUAAAAAAAAAAAAAAAAACGAAGCAUCUCAUGCCCAGCUUUGGGAGCAGGUUUCGGGGAUUGGGUAAUCGCAGAUUUGUUUAU
RNAcentral lists this ribosomal RNA (100 nucleotides) under Heterosigma akashiwo. RNAcentral describes it as "partial Trypanosomatid mitochondrial large subunit ribosomal RNA". Lineage: Eukaryota; Raphidophyceae; Chattonellales; Chattonellaceae. The record is from RNAcentral.